Molecule: long non-coding RNA, 20965 nt
Filed under: Sorghum bicolor (sorghum)
Lineage: Eukaryota; Viridiplantae; Streptophyta; Magnoliopsida; Poales; Poaceae
Description: long non-coding RNA (SBIC_LNC000875)
Rfam family: Plant small nucleolar RNA R71 (bases 8440-8546)
Source: RNAcentral
CUAUAGCUCUGGGUUUUUUUUUUGCAGAUUUUCAAAUAAAACUCAGAGAUUCCUUGUAUGACUCUCUAAAUCUCUCUUUUGUGGUAUUUCUGGAUCCUUACCAAGGCAUUGAUGGUAUAUGCCUUCUCUCAAGAUAUGUGGUAUUUGUGGUAUAAGGCAUAGUGAUAUUGCCUUCUCUCUCACCCUACUCUAAUAAGGCUUGAUAUCUGGAGCUCAUAGGUGGGAGACAGCUAAUACAUACUUACAAGAUAUUUAUUGCAUAGUCAAACCAUGGAGCCAGAGAAACAAGUCAAUAUGUCAAAUCAAGAUGUGCAUGUGUGGCGAAUGAAUGGUGUAUGGUGAUGAUGGUGAUAACAAUGGUGAAAGUCUAAUUCUACUUUUGCUCUUUUGAGGGUAUACAUACCUUUCUUGCACUUUGAAGCUUUUUGGGGAGAAUGAGAUGCUCUAUAUUUUCUUUUUGUUUCCUCUCAGGUGGGUAUCUUGUACCCCUAAUUCUACUGUCGGACACUUGUCCAUUUUUACCUCUCGUCUCACUUUUUUCUUUUCUUUCGAGGUUCCGGGCACUUGCUCCUUUUUAUUUCCUCGUUUAUAUAUAUUUUUUUUUUCUUUUCUUUUUUUUUUCAGAGCACUCAUCUCUUGAGAUAAUAUAGCAAGUGGUAGUAACCAAAAUAUUUGGAGCAUUUAUUUCAUAGGGAAUAACAGGGAUAGGAAAAUGUUUUUGACUAUUCUCUCCCGGAUUAGGAGUAGAAUAUUUUUGGGUGAUUCUGGAGAUGGAAAUGGAUGGAUAUAUGUGGAUGGUACUUCCGGAGUAGAAGUAGCAUAUAUGAGUGAACGUGCAAGUGAAUCUUGAUUUAACCACAUGACAAGCUCCUAAGGGUCUACACAGCUUGACCACACUCAUUGUUCAUAAGCAGUAAAAAGUAAAUAUGUGGCUCAAAGUCUAGCAAGCAUGUAUAUAUGGCUGUGGUAGGAAUUUGAACUCUCAUCAUAUAGGAACUCAUCAUGCAAUAUUUUAAAGAUUUUUCAAAAUAAAAUUUUCCAGAAUUCUAGCAUCUCUAGGAACAGAUAAACAGCAGCUCAACCUUCCCAUAUCAUAUCCGUUAACAACUUAGAUUUCAGAUCAAGUUUUCAUCCCACAAGUUUAGAUCUAGAGCAAGCUUUAAAUUAUAACAGUUGUGUCUAAACUUGAGAGAGAACUUCAAAAUUGCAAAUUAGGCAGAGCAACUAUUCAUCAUAUCCAUGCUAGAGUUUUAUUAUUAAGAUUCAGAUUAGCAUAGCCACUUUAUUUAUUUAUUAAACAUACUAAGCAAAAGAUAUAUAUAAGCACAAAAUAUUUAUUUGGUUUUUCACAGUUUAUGUAUUUUAAUAUUCUAACAUAAUAUAAGUAUAAAGAUAGGUAGAAAUACUUAGCGAGAUAAAUGGGGGUGCUCUCCCCCAAGCUGAAUUUUGACAUAAUUUUUCUUGAUGUAGCUAGCAGGUGGCAGAGGUGUAUUUGAAAGUCAGCAGCAUUCUGACAGCGAUUAGAAUGUCCUCCGUCUGCUAGUCUUCUUGAUUCUUAAAUUCUGUGGAGCUCAAAUAGACAACAAAGCUUGUGGAACUAAUUAAGUGUUAGCAUAAAUAUCUAGCCUUCAUCAUGUUGAGCUUCCUUAAUAAAUGUUACUUAUUUAGCAGGAUCAUGCACUUAUUAUUUUUAUAUUUUUAUUGUAAGAUGAAAACUUAUUUAUUUUAUUUUUAUGCCACCAUAGUGAAUGUACUUAUGGGUUUUAUGCGAUGAGCAUAAUCACAUGGGGCUUACUAUUUUUUUAACAUUUUUAUUUUCUUUUCAAGAUAGCAUGAACCUGAUUAACUAAGCAAACUAUAAUUGAAUAAUUGAAAGGAAAAGGAUAACUACCAAGUUUACCUCUUGGCAAGGCGUUCGGUGUUUUUAAGUCCUCCGAACGGGACUCUCCGUUUUCUCAGUCGUCCUGGGAUUCGCUAGGUGGCGUAGUCGGUGAUUCCGGCGGCGCCUCCUCUUUGUUAUAACUAUCUUCUCUCUCCACACCUGACUCGGCGCUAACGGUCUCCUCAGGACAGUUCUGUUCAAGCUAUAUGUGUUCAGACCUUAUCACUUCUCCUUCGUAGUCUACCCAUCCGUCCUUGAUGAUUUGCCUCCUCUGGUUACGGUUGCGUUGUCUUCUUCUUGUCCUGACCUGCUUAAAAUCUUCAACUAUAUAGUUAGAAUCAUUAAAGUAGUGGCGCACCUUCUCAGAGGGGAAGUGCAUGUGGACAUCUCUGGUUCCAAUGUAGAUGAUUGCUUUGAUAGUGUUGAGGAACGGUCUUCUAAGGAUGGUGGGUGCAUCAUACUCGUCUUCUCCCAUGUUAAUGACCUAAAAAUUACGUGGAGCCGAAUGUAUGUUGGUUGUAGGAGCAUGGUUCCAUGCAGGAGCUGAUAAGUGACUGCGGCCAUUAUGUUGUCGUCAGAUCCGGUGUCGUAGAGUGUCUUCUAAAAAGAGUAUCCAUUGAUUGUGCACUCAAUGCUUGGAACACCAGGGUCAUCCUUCUUGAUCAAGAAAGGUGACUUGAGUCGACGAUCUUGACAUCCUUGAGCUGCAGUGACCAUCUCAGCUGACUCGGUCCACAUUUUCUUGUUCUUGUUCCUCCUAUUGGUCCUCUUCCUUGGUUCAUGUCGGGAUUGCUCUGAAGCUUGUGUAGUCUUGUUCUUGAAGGAAAGUCUCCUUCUUCCCCUUGAUGUAGAGACUGAUCUUGGCAGCAUUAGCGUAGAUGACUGCUCUGGUGUUUAGGAAUGGCCUCCCUAAGAUGAUGGGUGCCCUCUCCUCACUACCAGUCUCUAUCACCACGAAGUUUGCUGGAGCGUACAAGGUACCAACUCGGACAUAGAGUUUCUUCAAUAUUUCCUUUGGGAAACUAAGUGUCUGAUCUCCAUUGUGUUUGUGCUCGUAGAUCCCGGUUCUUCACUUGAUGGAAUCUGGGAGUUGUAAAACUCCUCCAUGUUUUGUUUGAAGUGUACCUAUUCAUAGAGACAAGGCAGAGAUCAAGUGCAUGGGCCCUGUUGGUGGAAAACACCAACAGAACCAAAAGUGUAUUUUUUCUUCUCUAACCUUAAGCAUAGUGAGCAAGACAAAGUUGAUGGAUAAUAAGAUCAUGAGUGUAGUAUUUGAAAAUUUUGUCAGAUCAGAUGGCUCAACCUAAUGGAAAGAUAAUCUAUCUAUAUUUAUGUUUUGUUUAUAUCUUCCAAAUAUUGAAUGUGCAACAUAUUAGCUUAUAUGUUUAGGAGCGUGGGAUCACGAAGGUAGCACUAAGAACAAAGAUUAAAGGACUAAACAUGUUGAAUUAAUUGAGUUGGUUAAUCUGGAGUUAUAAAUCAUACAUGUUUGUCUCUUUAUUUAUGUGAAUGCUAGAACCAAGGAGAAACUUAUAAAAGCGAUAGUCAAGUACCUUAAGGUGUUACCUUACUUGAAGAGUGACGGUACAGUAUCACCUUGUGGAAGCUUUCCUUUCUUAGCGGUUGUGCAUCGUGUUUGUGGCACCCACCAUGAAUCAUCUCUUAUGAGCCACGUCUUUCUUGUGCAAAUUGUUAAACUUCAUGUGUCACUUUCUUCAUCUCCAAUGCGAGUUUAUCUCAGGACUUCCCAGGUUGAUAUUGAAAGUUUUCCUGCAGGGGUUAGUCCAACAAAAUAUCCCCUAUCUACUAUAGCAUACUAUCGGCUUAAAAAUCAACCUAGACACCAUGUCUAAUUUGAUUUAGAAGGACAUUUUAACCUAAGCACCAUGCUUAAUUUAAAACCCCUUGGAAGUAAGAUCAUCAUUCCUAAACUAAGCACCAUGCUUAAUUAAGAGAUAAAUGAAACUAUUCCAAACCUAGACAUAUACUAAAGCAAAUAAAGGUAGCAUGAGAGCAUUUAUAUUAAGUGGAGAUGAAGUAGUGUAAUUAGUAUUUAACAAAUUGAGCAUGUCUCAAAGGUAAGGACAACCAACGUAGCAACAUGGCAAAAGAUGUUUUUUAUGUAAAGUACUCCCCCAAGCUUGAAUUUUACAAAAUUCAAGUUUGGAUGAAUUUAAUUCAAUGUUGUGUGAUGGUUGGUUGGACAUACCCUAUGCUUGUCAUUCAUCCGAUCUUCUUGCUCCAAUCCUGGAAAGGUUAGUGACAAGAAUACCCGAAGGAAUAUUUCUACAAUUAUCUUUAUAUGCUUAAUACACAAGGCAAUGUUGCAAAUAAUUAGAAGUUCAUGUUAUGAUCUGAUAAGUGCUUGUUUUAGGACACUAAGCUUGUCCUUGGGAAACCAUCAAGUUAUGUUGGUGAAGUGGUUUCCCCUCCAACACCUACCUAUAUCAAGAUCAACUCAACGAGAUCUGCAAUAUUUAUUAUAGACAUAUGCAUCGACAACCACACUUUUAAAGUUUUUAUAAAUGAAGAGGGAGAGGGGGUUGGAGAUCUCAAAUGUGGUAAGGAUGGAGAGACAAAUUGAUUGGAGAGAUGUUUUAUAUGAGCAAGGACUGGGUGAGGUAUUUAUGAAAUAACUUCCAUGCUCACUGUUGUUUCUCUCAUUCUUAAACUCCAAGGAUGAUUCUUCAUGAAUGCUUAAAAUUCCUCUAGGAUUGUCUCUCAAGUUUGUUUUAUCUAUCCAUUCAAUGGUGAUAGCACAUGGAUUUUUAAUGCCCUCUAGCCAUUGAUGUUGCUCUUCUCGAUCCUCCUUCUUAUGCAUGGGAUGUCUAGAGAGAUUCAUAGGAUUAUCGGGAGGUUCAAGAGAAAAAGCAUAGUAGAAAUUAUUAAGCUCAAGGAUGGGUUGGAUAGCCGAAUUAUGGGAUUGAAAUGUUUGGAAAUCGACUAUUGAAACUUCCUUUCCUCGUCUGGGAGAUGAUUCCUUCUCUAUUUCUAAGAUUUUUCUAUGAAGACUAGUGCAAGAAGGAUGUCCACAAAUGAAGACAUACCUUCCUUUACUAAUAGAUAAAGAAAGAAGGACUCUACCAAAGGUUAUAUGAUUAAGACCAAUGUGAAAAUAUUUAGGAAAAACAUGGUCUUGUAGGGCUAGGUCUAAACCAUAAUUUAUAGAAAGAUUAAAAGAUUCCCUAGGUGUAGCUAAAAGUGCAUUAUCUUCUUGAUUAAAAGAUAGGACCUCGGCUAUAGAAAAGGGUUGGUUUUGACCUAUUGCAAUCAACUCCGGACACAUAUCAUAAUUAGGGGCAGGACGUGUUGACUCCCAUGGUCUAUGGCUGGUCUCCGAAGGUGCAAAGAAUUUAAUAAUAGGUAUGGAAUUUGAGUUAUCCAUAAAGAUAAAAAUAAAAAGAUAAAAGAAUAAAAGUAUAAAAGUAUAAUACAAGAUAAUAGCAAGACUCAAAGUUAUCUCAGCAAACCGUCUUUCUCCCCGGCAACGGCGCCAGAAAUGCUUGUUGAUAUUUGGUAACGCAAUAAGGAAACGAUCCGCAAGCGCACGGAUAUCGGUGAGCAUUUCACCCGGGAGGUUAUCCAGAGUUAUCGUAUUUAUAUUUUUACCACUGGGAGAAAGGGUGCAUCUGACUAACCAAAUCUAUUGCUACUAUCCCUUUAGGCUACAAAGAAUGUCUCUCGAUGUGAGUGAUAAAUAGAGAAGACUGCAACCGUAGUCUCCUUCUAACCUUGGUAAGGAUGAUCUACUGUUCUAAUGGGGAGGCUAAUGGAAUCUAGACAACACAAAGGAUGUUCGACCCGCACCUAUAAACCCUAUCCUUCCUGCUAACGAGAUGUGAUCUGCAAAGGUAACUCGGAAUUGUCACGUUCCUCACUACUACCACGGUCCAGCUAGUCAGGGAAUAUCUAUGAGUACCCCAGCCUAAACACCACGUUUACGCCAGCAAUGAUUACUCUAAACUCUACGCGAAGAGAUUAAAGUAAACUCAUAAACCAUAAGAACAAUAAAACAAGAACUUACUAGAAUUUAGAAGUCGAAAUACUGAAGAAUCCUAGGAGCAAGCUUCGGGUUAGGAGAACUUGAUCCCGCAGGUACAAGCUUGGAGUAAACACCGACAGGCCGGGCUUCCUCCAAUCUACACCUCCACUCUAUCUCUCGCAAUCAAGUAGAAACUAGAAGAUCUAUUUCUACCUUACAUUGGUUGCUAAGCCUAAAACGAAAUAUUAAUUAGAGAAGAGGUUUUCCUUCGAGGGCACCCCUCAGUCUCUAUGAUAAUUUCUUCAUGUCUUCUCCAGGGGCCAGGGGCCUUACUUAUAUAGUCCUCCUCCUCUGUGCGUUUUUGGUUCAGCAGGCGAUGUGGUACUAAACUUUGCACCCUAUCUCAUUAAAAUGCACAUAGGCCUUAAUGGACCAAAAUCUGAUUUGGGCCCAAUUAAUCCCGCAACUCUUUUAUGUGGUGUCCUUCUUUUAUUAAUAUCUCUCGAUUCCGAACUCCAAAUAUAACAAAUAAUAUAUGCAUUUCGAUCAGCUCGACGAGAUCUUUGCAAUGGUGGACUCCAUUAUGUGAUUGGUGGAAACACCUGGGCGGGCGCCCAAGGGGGGUGGGCGGGCGCCCUGCCCCCGGGCCCGUUUGCCUUCUCGUUCGUUCCCGUGGCUUCUGGAGUCUUCUAGAUGAUAGAAAAUUGCGCAGUGCGUUGAUAUCUCUAUGUAAUCCUGACAUGUGGGCCUUUCUUCCGUAUUUCCAGAUAACCCCCUGUAGAAAUAGACAAACACCAAAACUCGUGGAAUUCUGUCAGAUAAAACCCUAAGUCUAGAUGUUGAUUUCAUUUGGAUCCUUUUCUUUGUUUAUUUGAUAAUUAAAUUUGAUACUUAAGGACCGUCAACAGCCUCCUCUUCAUGUAUAGUUAUCUUCAUUUUCCAUACCUAACUCGGUGCUUCAAUCUCCUCUGGAUAAUUCUAUUUAAACUCAACGUCUUCUGACCUUACAACUUCUCCUUCAUAGUCUGCCCAUCCGUCCUUGAUGAUCUGCCUCCUCUGGUUGUGGUUGCGUCUCUUUCUGACCUGCUUAGAUUCUUCAACAAUAUAGUUAGGGUCAGUAAAAUAACGGCGUACCUUCUCUGAGGGGAAGUGCAUAUGGACUUCUCCGGUUCCAAUGUAGAUAAUUGCUUUAACGGUGCUGAGAAACGGUCUUCCAAGGAUGAUGGGUGGAUCAUACUCAUCUUCUCCCAUGUCAACAACUUGAAAGUCUGUGUAGACAAAGUGAUCAUCUAUUUUGACUGGGACAUCAGUUACUGUUCCUUUGACUUCUCGGAAUGUCUGAUCUGCCAUCUAGAGCUGAAUGUAUGUUGGUCUUAGUGGCAUGGUCCCGAACAAGAGCCGAUAGGUGACUGCGGCCAUUAUGUUGACGCCCGAUCCGGUGUUGCAAAUCGUCUUGUAGAAGUUGUAUCCAUUUAUGGAGCAGUAGAUGCUUGACAUUCCUGGGUCGUCCUUCUUGGUCAAAAACGGUGACUUAAGUUGAUGAUCUUGGCCUCCAUGGACUACAGUGACCAUCUUAGCUGACUCGGUCCACACUUGCUUGUUCCUGUUUCUCCUGUUGGUCCUCUUCCUUGAUUUACGUCUGGAUUGAUCUUGAAUUUGUGUAGUCUUGUUCUUGAGGAAAAAUGUCUCCUUCUUCCCUUUGACGUAGAAACUGAUCUUGGCAGCACUAGCGUAGAUGAUAGCUCCCGUGGUGUUCAAGAAUGGCCUUCCUAGGAUGAUAGGUGCUCUCACAUCAUUUCCGGUCUCUACCACUACGAAGUCUGCUGGGGCAUACAAGGUACCAACUCGGACACAAAGGUUCCUCACUAUUCCUUUUGGAAAAGUUAUCGUCUGAUCUGCAAACUGCAAACACAUGGUUGUUUCUAGUAAAGGAUAUGUAAAGAAUUUCUCAUAGAGUACCCUGGGUAUAAUGUUGACACUAGAGCCAAAGUCGCAGAGUGCUUCUGGAACGUCCACCAUGCCGAUGGAGAUCGGGAUGACGGGGCGUCCUGGAUCGCCUCUCUUGACCGGUAGCCGGUCAGUAGAAAAUUCAGUGACGGGGUUACUCCAAUUACCUGAGUAGUUACGCCUCUGUUGAUUCCAACCUUGAUUUUGUUGAGGACGGUUGUAGUAGUAGUAGUAGUUGUUGUUGUUGAUGUAGUUCACAUCCUCAAGCAUCUCAGGGCAGUGGUUGCCUGAGUGUCCAGUGUCUCCACACUCCUCACAAGUCAUGUGAGAGUCGUAGAUGUGCAUAACUUCUUUCUUGUCUCCAGCUCUAUCGUCGAGCUUCUUCAUGAGCAGGUCUAGCUUUGCAGACAGCAUGUCUACCUCCUUCAGCUGAUGCAUACCUCCACCUCUCUUGCGUGUCUGGGUCCUCUCUUCAUUCCAGCUUUGGUUGGACGCCAUCUUCUCCACAAGAGCUGUGGCUUGUGGUAUAGUAAGUGAUAAGAAUGCUCCUCCAGCUGCAGCAUCCAUAGUCUCUCGGGCACUGUUGCUGAGCCCAUGAUAGAAUGUCUGCAUCAAUAGCCAACUCUCCAUUCCAUGAUGGGGACAUUCUAGGAUGUAGUCUUGAAAGCGCUCCCAUGCUUCUGGAACAGAUUCAUCAUUUUGUUGCUGAAAACUUAUAAUCUUCCCACGGAGAGCAUUAGUCUUGCCCAUGGGAAAGAACUUAGCCAGGAAGUUUGUUGAGCAGAGUGCCCACGUAGUAUUCUUCUCCUUUGUAGCGUAGAACCACUGCUUCGCUCUUCCUAAUAGUGAGAAUGGGAAGAGGCGAAGUAGUAUAGCGUCUUUGGAAACUCCUGCUAUGGUGAAUGUGUUGCAAAUCUCCAGGAAGUGUUGUAAAUGAGCACUAGCAUCUUCGUGUGCCUUCCCACAGAACUGGUUGGAUUGCACCAUGUUGAUAAGUCCAGGCUUGAGCUCAAAGUUGCCAUCGAUCUCUGCAGCAGGUCCAGUGCGGAUGUUGUCCAUAGUGGGAGCUGAGAACUCGCGGAUCGAUUUGUUCGCCAUGGCUUCGAACUCUGAAGACAAGUUCCGGUGAUCUUCUUGAUUGGAUGAAGCUUCUUCGUGAAGUGUUGUUGAUCUCUUCUUGAGCUUGGCCCUCGUCUUCUUGAAUAAUGCUUCGGGAUUGUCAACAAAAUUUCCUGGAAGAUGUCUUCUAUUCAUACAUUCCCCUGCAUAAGAUAAAAUAGAAAAAUAUCGGGGUAAAACUGUAUGAGAGAAUAGAUAAGCUCAAUCAUAUUAGUGAUGCGAAUGAUAACUCAAAAUCUUUUAUUCCAUUCCUGAUUAGUAAUCAACCUUCCCCGGCAACGGCGCCAAAAAUGCUUGUUGGGUAUUCUUAACAUCAUUACCAAAAGUAGACUAAGUUCUCUAAAUCUAGUAACGGUGCCAAAAAUGCCAAACCUAUCCCUCACACCACUUAAGCCAAGUUGUCAUCCCCAGCAUGAUAUAAGAGACGCGGUAUUGAAAUAUGCAAUUGCUCUUCUAAAUAAAUAAUGAAUGGGACCUGCAAGCGCACAGAUUAAUACCGAUGCAGCAUUUUAACCGGGAAGUAUUCCAGGUAUCGUUAUUUAUAUUUUUACCACUGGGAAGGGAUUAGAAAUCAUCACUAUUGAUUACAGAAUAGAAUAUGUGAUUGAGCAUCUGUCAUUGCAUGUAUAACUGAGAACAUUAUAUCUAACUCUUCAUACAGAGAUAAGUGUCACAUAAAAGAUAUAUGAAAUAAUAAUAGUGACAAGGAUAACUAAUCUGAUCUAGCCACAUAAUAAAUAUGAUAAGCACCUCAAUUAGAUACUCUAGAAAGUCAUUAGCAUGGUAUUAGAACGAACUACAAGAAUAUUCCCUAAGUUAUUCUCAACUAUAUAGUCUAGCAUUAUCAUAGUUAGUGCAAGCAUACUUAGCAAUCAUUGUGAGACAAGACUACGCCCAUACAUAGUGAUAUUAACAAGGAAUAUGAGAAACAUAGCAAUCACACCCCUGUAAUAAUGUUGCUCUGCCAGCCCAAUACACGAGAGGGGGACUAUAUAAGAAUCAAUGAAGCGGUCACUAUCACGAACCACCCCACGAUCUGGCAUAUUGGGUACAAUCGCAGAUAAAUACGGUAUAAGCACCACGCCUACACAAUAUCUAUCAUUUACCCAUGGAUCCGAUGGAUAAACGCUAUACGAUCCUAAGCAUGUAUAUAGAUCCAAUCUAACUAAGCCAAGUGCAUAACUAUGAUAAACUAAGAACAAUAUAAUCUUGAAUAUAAGCAAAUAGAGCAAAGUCAUAAGCAAUAUAUUGAAGUAGAACAAAGUCAUAUUCAUAAUAUUGAAGAACAAAGAUAAUUAGAAAGCAAUUAGAAGCACAAUUAGAGAAUUACCAAGAAUCCUCCUGACAGAUCCGGAAACCAAUCGAAGAUUGACUCCUUCUAGUUCUAAUCCUAUGUAGCUAUGCUAAUCUAGAUGUCUAAUUGAUGUGGUGGCUCUAAUCUUGAUCAGAGGCUUCUUCUCCCUUGAUGGAACAAUGAAUUAGGGUUGAGAGGCUCCCUCCUCCAGGGGCCAGGGGGUCUGGUUUUAUAGUCCCUCCAAGUGAAUAUGGGCCCUUGGAUCAAACCGACAUAGAUUGUAUGGUUUAGAUUCAUCCUUUAGGUCGGUGGAGAUCUCCCGCAAAGCAGAGUCCUGAUUGGACUCAGGGGCAGGGCGGGCGCCCUGACCAACUGGGCGGGCGCCCAGGGUCAGGCCCCGUUUCGCCUCCGCUUCGGUCUCGUGGCUUCUGGAGUCUUCUAGAUGUAAGAUAAUUGCGCAGCACGUUAAUAUCUUUACGUAAUCCCGACAUGUGGGCCUUUCUUCCGUAUUUCCUGAUAACCCCCUGCAGAAAUGGACAAACACCAAAACUCGUGGAAUUCUGUCAGAUAAAACCCUAAGUCUAGAUCUUGAUCUCAUUUGGAUCCUUUUCUUUAUUUAUUUGAUAAUUAAAUUUGAUACUUAAGGACCGUCAACAUCCUUUCAGAAAUAUCUGCCUCUACCGAUGCGAUGACAUACAACGAAUCUCCUGGGAGAAUUUCAAUCUUGUCACCUACCCAUUGAACCAAGCACUGGUGCAUUGUAGAGGGGAUACAAAAAUUGGCAUGAAUCCAUUCUCUCCCCAAUAGCAAAUUGUAGGCACCCUUUCCACUAGUGACAAAGAAAGUCAUCGGCAAGAUUUUGCUGCCCAUGGUCAAUUCAACACAUAUGGCUCCUUUAACUCGAGACACAUUUCCUUCAAAAUCUUUCAACAUCAUAUCGGUCUUAUUCAAAUCCUGAUCCCCUUUGCCAAGCUUCCGAUAGACUACGUAUGGCAUAAUGUUGAUAGGAGCUCCACCAUCAAUAAGUAUCUUGGUCAUCAGCUGCCCAUCAACCCUACCCUUUUGUGGUCAGCGGGCUUUUCAAAGAUAGCAGUCAUCGGGUCAAGAGCCAACUGAGCUAUCUGAUCAGGGAAAUCUAUUUCCUCAUCAUCACUAAAAGGUGCAAGGAAUUCUAUCGGUAACAUAAAUACCAUAUUAACAUCUGCCGAUGGGCCUUUCCCCCUGGGAUCUAACUGCUACCGAUUUCCAGACUCAGCAGAAUUCUCUUCUCUCCUCAGUUCUUCUUGUCGCUCUCGCUACAGCCUUCUUUUCUGUGUCCUUGUCAACUCUUCUAGACACCAUGGGGGAAGCUGUGUUCUUCGCACUAGUUGAUGAUGAUUUUCCCUUGAUUUCACACGAUAAGUAUUAGCAUCACUACAAAAUAUGAACUCAUCGGGAGCUCGCGCAUCCGCCAUCUCCUCAAGUUCCUCUUGGUUUCUGGGAAAAUAACCGACAUGUUCACCAAGCCUGUCAUGCACACUGAGUCUGCCCCCCAGUCGGUCGUGAACGGAUGUCCUUCCUCUAAUCGGCCCAUCAAAACGCCGAUUGUGGCCUUGAUAUCACCAAUUUGGUCUAUCAUGCCGAUUAUAACCAUUGCACACCGGGCAGUCUCUAACGGUUGGUAGCUUGAUGUUUUGCUCCCAACAGUGGAUGAAGAACGGGCAAUUCCAAUGAUCUUUAUGUUGAUUCCACUCUUGUCGGCGUAUAUCCUCUUCCCAGCGACGAUCUUCCUACUGGCGACGAUACCGAUCUUCAUGCUGCUGCCAUAUUUCCUGAUGCCUCCUAUGAGUAAUUACAAUGCCAAGCCGAGGAGGCCUCCUUGAGCUAGUGCCUUCCUGGAUCAAGCCCUUACCCUUGGCGUCAUCGGCAUUGAUCUGGUGCUGAGGAUCCACCAAUGCGCUCUUUUCAGCUGCUUCUGAAGUUAAGACUUUAGUCUUUCCCUUAGCAUCAAACAUAUUUGGGGGGAAAGGAUGUUCAUCAAUCUUCAUCGGCUUUUGAGCUUUGGAGCUAUCGAAUUUAAUCCUCCCAGACUCUAUAGCCGAUUGCAGCUAUUGUCUGAACACCUUGCAUUCAUUUGUACUAUGUGACGUUGUAUUAUGCCACUUGCAAUACUUGAUCUUCUUCAACUCUUCUGCCGAUGAAAUCACAUGAUUAGGUGACAAUUUAACUUGCCCGUUCUGAAGCAGAAAGUCAAAUAUCCUAUCGGCUUUUGUGAUAUCAAAUGCAAACUUUUCUGGCUCUUUAUGGCCGAAAGGGCAAGACAUCGGCUUUUUGUUCUUCAGCCACUCUGCCAAGCCGAUGACUGGUUCUUCAUCAGAAUCUGAGCUUGUUGCCUCAUCGACAAAUGACACAUUUUUAUUCCAAGCUUUCUAGGGUUCAAAAUUCUUGAUAUCCUGAUUAGAAAUCCUCUGCACCAAAUGACUUAAACUUUCAAACUCAUGAGAUGUAUACUUGUCUUUGAUAUGUGGCAACAAUCCCUGGAAAGCCAAAUCGGCUAGCUGCCGAUCGUCUAGGACCAGGCUAUAGCACUUGUUUUUGACAUCCCGUAACCUUUGUACAAAACAUUCAACCAAUUCAUCACUGCAUUGCCUUAAUCUGACUAAAUUGGUAAUCUUUUUCUCAUGAAUUCCAGAAAAGAAGUAUUUAUGAAACUGUUUCUCUAGAUCGGCCCAAGUAAUCACUGAAUUUGGAGGUAAUGAAAUAAACCAAGUGAAGGCCGAACCGGACAAAGAUGAUGAAAAUAAACGAACUCUUAAUUCAUCCGUGUUGGCAGCUUCUCCACACUGAAUGAUGAAUCUAUUAACAUGUUCCAUGGUUAACGUGUCAUCUUAUCCAGAAAAUUUGGUGAAAUCUGGCACCUUGUACUGAUUGUGAAGCGGGAUCGAGUCAUACGCAGGAGGAUACAGUGUCCGAUAAGAGUAAGUAUUGACUUUGGGCUUUAUCCCAAAUUGAUCCUUCAUUACUUCAGCUAUUUUAUCGGCCCAAUAAGCAUCGGCAUCCUGCCGAUGUGCAAGUUGAGGUUCUGGUGCCUGCUGAUAAGCUUCCACGUGUCUCUAAUGUGCACGAUCUCUCGGGAACAUGGCAUUGGCCACAGCCUGUUAACCAACGUUCUCCUGAGCAAGAUUCAUCGGCUGAUUUACUGGUCCUUGAUUCUAAAAACCAAGCUGCAUCUGCCCCUGCUGGAAUCCCGUAGCCUGAUGAUUCCGCUGAGCCAUUUGCGGAAAGACGAACUGCUCUGUCCAUCCGUUGUUCACAUUCAUCGGCGUAGGACCUGCCGAUGGCUGAUAGUUAGGUAUCAUCAUUAGGUUGACAUACCCUGUCUGAGUCAUAAACCUUUGAUGCGUCGGCAGUGGAUCCGCCGAUGCGUUAGGCAUCUGGAAUACCGGCAUCUUAGAAUUUCCAGUAAAAGGCCUUGCAGUAGUGGUUGUAGAAUACUGGAGAUUCUGAGUCAUCGGUGAUACUGGGGGUGCCAAUGUCAUAGGAGCCUUGCCUAUCAUGUCAGCCACUUAAGAUGUCCCAGAACUAUUUGCCAUAAAGUCUGGGGGCAUACCAUAUCCCCACCAGUUGGGAGGAACUUGACAAUUUUGGAAUACAGAACCUGACAUUGCCGAUGCCAAUAGAUCUAUAGCAAGUUGAACUUGUCCAUCUGAUGUUGCUGGAUUAGUCCUCAUCGGUGUAGAUUGCCCAUUAGUCAUCCCUAAUGUGCUUGGAGAAGAAGUAACUUCUAUAUCUGCAACGGCUGGAGGAGCCGAUGGAGUCGUAACCGAUGAUGAUCCUAGCUGAUGAUAGGCCGGGCCCACGUAAGAUGGUGGUAUCUGUCCCUCUUUGAAGGUUCUAGCCACAGCAUUGAAAACUAGAUUGGACAGUACACUAGAUUGAUUGAUUAAAGCACGAUUAAUAGCAUUGUCCACCAUCUCUUGCAAUUUACCAGGAUUAGCUUCAAAAGUGAUUUGCCGAGGCAUCGGCAAUGCUUCCUUUUGGAUCACCUCACCGCUCCUAUUGACACUGAAGGAUUUCAAACAUAGCUACUUGUAUUCCUCCAUAGCUUUUACCAUAGCUUGCUUCCGCUCAUCUCUGAUAUUGGCUUCAGUUACGGGGAUGAUGUUAUCCGUAUCGAAAUCAGUAUUUGACAUGUUGAUCUUGACGAUGGAUCUGAAUCUGUCCCACCAGGCGUGCUAAAAGAUGUGUUGAUGCAAAAGUGGAUCUGCAAACACAAAGGGCUAAUACCCGAUUCCGUGUUAAGGCGUGCCAGCCGAUUUGACCUUACAACCGACAAAGGUGAUAACUUGAAUACUUUGGUCCUGACAACAGCGAUGCGCCCGGAUGCCACGGCCAAGAGGUAUUCACGCGGAACUUGAGAACUCGCCGAGUUUGACUCGAUGAAUUCCUAAGAACUCAUAAGUAAAAAGAAAAUAUGUGAGGUGACGAAGUCAUCAAAAAGUAGAUGCUAGAAUAGAUGUAAAAACUUAUGUUUGAUUGAUUGUGAUCCUUUUCUUACAUUGCUACGGGGUCUACAUUUAUACCCUGUCCAAAAGAAUUACAACCAAAUACGACUAGGACUCUAAUUCCAAAUCGAACGGAAUCUGUAAGUAAAACAAACUCUAAUAACUAUGGAAAACAUUAAUCUAUCCACCAUAGGCGAUCGGCACACCGUCACCAUCCUAUUGACAAUUCUUGCGCCUUCUUCUGCUAUCAUCGGCAAAUCACCUUCCAUCAGCAUCGGCAACCACCAAUAUCGGUCAUCGGCAUAGAUCAAUCACCCCCGGACUUGGUCACAUCAUGCUGCCUUAUCAUCGGCAUCAUAACCCAUCGGAAACCCUUCUGCCAAUCAAGCAUUACUUUUCCGCCUGCCGAUCUGUACUCCAUUAAUUUCUCAGGUACUUGUCCAAAAACGGUGUCAACACUUUUAUACAUAAGAACAAGAAAAUUACUUUGCUGCCUUUGUCACCAAUGGAUAUUGUUAAACUUGCUAAAGAGAUUAUGAAGAAAUCUUCCACAGACAUUGAUAAAAAUAAUGAAAAUAAGUUACAUAGAGGUGCUUUACUUGCUACAACUUCUACUACUACUGCGUUAUGUGAUAAUCCAGAUGCAUCAUGUUAUACUAUGCUUUGUCAACCUAUUAUGUCUUGUGCAUUGCCUACUGUCACUAACCUUUUGCAGGAAUUUGUUGAUGGGGACGAGUCGAGGACGACUGCAAUUUUAGAAGGAGGGGAUGAUGAGGACAUCGCCAAGAUGGAGUCGAGGACGACUCCAAUUCAAGCUGGAUACAUUGACACCAUUGUCUUUUCCAAGUUGUGAUUCAUCUCCAACUCAGCUACCAUGUCACUCUCGGACUCAGCAAACAUAUCGUCAGUGUUUUGAUCAUAACUUCUUCAUACGACAUGGAAACGGGGUGAUCUUGGACUCGUUGGAAAGGGGACAACAACGCCGUCAUUUUCGAUCUGAUCCCAGCUCCAGAUCCUUCGUGGAUUAAUCAUUAUGUUUAUGCCAAGGUGCUGCGUCACCUAUUUUGGGCCAAUUUGGUCAUGUAUCGAAUUCGGGCCUUAAGCCCAUGUUGUGGGCACCUCCCCCUGGUCGUCUCCAACCCUAGGUCGUUUCUCCUUUAUAUUCCAUGCAGCCGCCGCUGUUUAGACUUGGGUUUUGUUUAGAGUUUAGUUUUCCAUCGAGAAACUGAAUCGUUCAUUGUAACUGUGGUGACAAAUCCUUUUACAGUAAUCUAGGGUCCCCGUUCUUGAUCUCCUCCACUGUGUCGAUUAGUCCAUUGGAACCAAGUUCUUGAACCCUCAAUGAAUAUUCGCGUCAUUUACAUCUGCAAUUUCAGAUUGCAUGUUUAUACUUUCUUGCUUGUAUUCUUCGAUUCGCUCACAGGAACAGCCUUCUUGGCAAGGUCAAUCAAGUUGUGCUUCGUUGAUAACCAACGGAGCAGUGGUGUAACGGUUGCAGGGUUCGAAUCGUGUUGAUUUGAAGCCGGAUCGCGAAUGUCGAGUUCUCCAUAAUCAAAUUUAUCAACUACCUCUCGGAAGAUUGGGCCUGGUCUCAUCAAGCUCGAACCUCCAGCCUCAUAGGGGUGAGUAACGUAUCCCAUACCAUAUCCAUACCCAUGGGUAAAUCCGGGUGCAGGUAUAGCAGGGGUCCAUCCCAUCCCUAGCAUAGCUGGUGGCGGAGUGUGCUGUGCUGGCUGUGCGGAUGGUGCUGGUUGUGCUGCCCUUGCUGCUUGUGCUGCCUGCUCUUCUUGAUCCCUCCUCCGUGUGUUCUUGCGAGAAACAGAGCUCCUGCGUCCUCCUUCCGUCUCAAUGAGGGUGAAGGUGAGUGAUGGGGAAUUAUACAGAGCGAGAUUCGGGUUAGGUAACUGGAUCUCGUUUGUAUAUCUCGAAAAAUAAUAUAAAAUCUUUUUACCUAUUUUGUCGCAUUUAAUCACAUGUGCAUACGAAAGAUAUGAUUCAUUAAUCAUGAUGCGAGGAGUAGUGAUGUAAAUAAUGGUAUUAGCAGCAUGGGGAUCAACACUUGCAGCAAGGCGAGUAGUAAGAGAUGUGCACAUGAUAGUAGUUGAAGUGUUAAUGGAAUGCAACCAAUGAUUAACAAGCUCAACAACAGGUGCAACCUUAAUCUUUUUGAGCGUAGCAUAAUGCAACUUCAACUCUAUGUCGUAAGUAAGAUGCGUAUCAUCUCUUGAAAAUAACGAACUAGCGAUCCACUUAUGGAGAAGCCUCAGAGUGGGGUGAUGGAUGUUGGUAGAAUGCCCCUGAAACUUUCCAACGACGUGUUGCCCCGAGAUCAAAUGUCAGAAAGCAUGACAUUGGUAACUCCCGAGGGAGAAACCUAAGUCAAUGGAGCACCGCUCGUGGAAACCCAAACUGUUGGCAAGAUCCUUCCAAUAAAUACCAAAAUCUCUUCCAAAGCAACGAAAGGUAAUACCAAAAUCGACAAUUUGUAGAGUGCCCAAAGUUUGGAACAUCAAAAGAUGUGACCCAAGUUCAUGAACGGGGGCAACUCUACUUUAACCAAGAUGCUCGAAAAUAGUAUCAAACUCAACAUCCAUACCUAUUUGGUGCAAGAAUGCAGGGUCGAAUGCCGGCGAAUGGAGGAACUCGCGUUCCUUUAUGAGGUUUUAUGCCUGCAUCUCCCGCUCGCUCUCCAAGUCAAUGAAGGGGGUGUCGGCCUCGUCAAUGGCAUGGCCGUGUGGCUCCUCCUCCUCUCCUCCAUGUGUCGGCUACUCGUUCCUUGCAGGGGUUGGUGGAUCAACUCAUGGUGGACGAGCUAGCACAAGUGUAUGGUGUUUUUGCUUGGAGAGGGAAGUGUGCAAGAGGUUUUUGACAGAAUUUUCUUGCACUAAGCUUGUGGAGUAGGCUAUGAAGCAAAGUGGAGCAAGAGAGUGAAGAAGGGAAGAGUAAAAAAAUGUGUGUGAGAGGGGUGAGGUGCUCCACUCGGGAUCCUCUCUAUUUAUAGAGUCGAUCGCAGGACGGUGAGCGCCCCCCUCAAUGGCUACUAGCUGUUGCCCAAAGGCCGAGGCCAGCAGGCCUUGGGCAGGGUGCGGCCGCACCCUGGUGCGCCCGCACCAGUGGUGGGCCGGCCUCUACCCAGCCUUUUGGCUGCUGGGUCCAACGGUCACCCCAAACGUCUCUCUGGUUAUGAUGAGACUUGGUCCAGAUUUUGAUUUUCCACAUAUUUAUUCAAAAUAUUUUUGGUUUUCAAUAAUUAUAUAAAAAUAACAUUUGGAAAUGGGAAAAUCUAUACUACCAGAAAAUAAUUUUUGUAAGAUUUCUAGAGAAACUUUAUUUUUGACUAAAAAUAAAACUAUAGAAAGGGAAACUUUUGGAAACUAAAAAUAAAAACUUACGAUAAAAAGGGAAAUUAAAACAAAAUUUAAAGAAUUUAAAAAGACAUAAUACCUAAGCUGGGACACCUCCCCCAAGCUUGCUUGAUGUCGUGGGCCCCCUUCAGAUAUCUUUAUUGGGACACAAAUAGCACAAACGUUAUUUUUGUUAUAUAUAGUUUUUUUAAGAUAACUACCGAAUGCCUUCGACAAGGGCUCAACAUUUAUAGUCCAUUGGCAAGACUCUCCUUCAUUCUUCUGUGGUUGCAUGGACGAACUCAGUAGAGGUUUCCGGUUGCCCUGGGAUCCUCUUUGUGCCAGUGACUGGAAUUGAUGCAGCUAUCUAUGCUAUCUAUGUUUCUAUCAUCUUGUUGAAACUUGUCUGACUUUUGACAGAUCAACAAAGAGUUUCAAGCUUGGCAUUUAUGUUCUCAAUGAUCUUGUCAUUGUAGGACAACUUCUUGGUCAGAUUCUCGUUGAUUUUAGCUUCCCCUAUGGCCAGAUCUUUCAAGGAAGGCUGAUCGAAGAAAUUACCCUGCGGGCGGUGCUGAUUGUUCCACCCGUUGUUACCUUGCUGUGGUGGCCGAAACCCAUUGUUGACAUAUGCUGCUUCUUCUUGGGUUUCAGGGCAAUUGUUCCCCGAAUGGCCAUCAUCACCACAAACUUCACACUAUGUGUGUGAGUUCACUGCUUGGAUGGUGCCCAUGUUGGGAUUUGCAACUUGUCCGUCCAUUCUUUGCAGCAGCAAGUCUAUUUUUGCGGCAAGCACAUCUGCCUCCUUCGCAGAUUGCGAGCCUUUUUGUGUUUUCCUUCCUUCUCCCUAGCUUUGAUUUGCCACCAUCUUCUCGAUGAGGGCAGUAGCUUCAUUAAUGGUGAGAGAAAGGAAUUUGUUGACGGUCCUUAAGUAUCAAAUUUAAUCAUCAAAUAAAUAAAGAAAAGGAUCCAAAUGCAACCAACACCCAGACUUAGGGUUUUAUCUGACAGAAUUCCACGAGUUUUGGUGUUUGUCUAUUUCUACAGGGGGUUAUCAGGAAAUAUGGAGGAAAGGCCCACACAUCGGGUUUACAGAGAGAUAUUAACGUGACGCGCAAUUUUCUAUCAUCUAGAAGACUCCAGAAACCACGGGAACGAACGGGAGGCCGAGUGGGCUCGGGAGCAGGGCGCCCGCCCUGCUACAGGAACCAAUCAUGUUCAAUCUCGCGGAUCAUGCUCCACCGACCUAAAGGAUCAAGGAAAACUGUGCGAUUCAUGAUGGUUUGACCCAACGGCCCACAUUCAUUUGGAAGGACUAUAGAAGCAGACCCCCUGGCCCCUAGAGGAGGCACCCCUUGAUCCCUAUUCAUUAUUCAUAGACAGAGCAAAAGCUAGGAUUUGGAGAUGAGAGCUCUCCUCUCUUCUCUAAACUAGAGUAGAUCUAGAUAGUAGCGAGAUGGAGAGCGAGGGAGGAUUGGAGGAGAGGUCGGCCUGUCGGUUCUUCCUCUGGUUGUACUUCGCCAUGAUCAAGCUCUAAUCAAGCUUGCUCAUGGGAUGACUAUGGUAAUCUAUUUCUAUUUCAUUAUGCAAUUACUAAUCAUGUAUGUUCUGGUUCACAACUCUUUUGAGUACUUUUAAUCUAUAGGACCCUAUAGGUUAGAAUUGUAGUAUAGGUGUAAGCGUGGUGCAUGGACCUAGAUUACUUGUGGAUAUCCCCUGUCUAGCCGGAUCGUGUGGUAGGCCGCGUAUGUGACAGCUACGUUGGUCCACUGUAGUCCACCUCCCGUUAGCAGGACUGGUAGGGUUUAUCGGCCUAUGGAUAAGCAUCCUUUGUGGUGUAUUCUUAUCACGUGGUUCAUCCCAGACAUAGACAUACCCCUUUGAAGUAGAGAAACCAUAGUUAUCCUCUCUAUUCUCCUACCAUCGCCCAUAUACUAGAUUGCUCUACUCUCUAUUCCCGUAUUAUCACUUAUUGUUAUCUUACAAAUCAAUAAGUUUAAUCAAGAUGUGCAUGUGUGGCGAAUGAAUGGUGUAUGGUGAUAAUGGUGAUAACAAUGGUGGAAACAAUGGUGGUGGAAGUCUAAUUCUACUUUGCUCUUUGAGGGGAUACAUACAUUCCUUGCUUUUUGAAACUUUAUGAGGAGAAUGAGAUGCUCUUCUUUUUCUUUUCUCUCAGGUGGGUAUCUUGUACACCUAAUUCUACUGUCGGACACUUGUCCAUUUUUACCUCUCGUCUCACUUUUUCUUUUCUUUCGAGGUUCCGAGCACUUGCUCCUUUUUAUUUCCUCGUAUUUGUUUAUUUUUUUUUCUCUCUUUUUUUUAUAAGCACUCAUCUCUUGAGAUAAUAUAGCAAGUGGUAGUAACAAGAUAACUUGAGCAUUUAUUUCACAAGGGAAAAACAGAGAUAUUUUUGGCUAUUCUCUCCCGGAUUAGGAGUAGAAUAUUUUUGGGUGAUUCUGGAGAUGGAAAUGGAUGGAUAUAUGUGGAUGGUACUUCCAGAGUAGAAGUAGCAUAUAUGAGUGAACGUGCAAGUGAAAUCUUGAUUUAACCACAUGACAAGCUCCUAAGGGUCUACACAACUUGACCACACUCAAUGCUCAUAAGCAGUAAAUAGUAAAUGUGUGGCUCAAAGUCUAGCAAGCAUGUAUAUAUGGCUGUGGUAGGAAUUUAAACUCUCAUCAUACAGGAACUCAUCAUGCAACAUUUUAAAGAUUUUCAAAGAUAAAAUUCUCCAGAAUUCUAGCAUCUCUAGGAACAGAUAAACAGCAGCUCAACCUUCCCAAAUCAUAUCCGUUAACAACUUAGACUUCAGAUUAAGUUCUCAUCCCACAAGUUUAGGUCUAGAGCAAGCUUUAAAUUAUAACAGUUAUAUCUAAACUUGAGAGAGAACUUAAAAUGUGCAAAUUAGGCAGAGCA